Molecule: long non-coding RNA, 380 nt
Filed under: Physcomitrium patens
Lineage: Eukaryota; Viridiplantae; Streptophyta; Bryopsida; Funariales; Funariaceae
Description: long non-coding RNA (PPAT_LNC005030)
Source: RNAcentral
UUGGAAUUAUUUGGUUAAUAUGUAUUUGUGGUAUUGAUCCAUAUUGUGGCAUGGACUAGUCCAUUGUCAAAUGGACUCGCAAUUAUACUUCUUGUAGAUUUAUUUUCCAUUGUCUUGGUAGUGACAAGUAUUUUCUUAUGAGAUUAAAAGUAGAAAAGCAAUAACCGCAUUACAUAGGGAAUUUAUUGUAAUCAACUUGUAUAUGUAUUGUAUUGCCAUUCAUCAGAUUGACCAACUUAGUUGUGAUAUUAUAUAUGAUGUUUGUUGCUAGCACAAUGUAGAACUUUUAAUCCUCAUCCUUUUUAUUGCUCCAAUCUCUCUUCAAAAGUUGUUAAAGGCUUUGAACAUUGUCUCUUUUACUACUUGUGAAUUCAUCAAAG